GACGAACGCUGGCGGCGUGCUUAACACAUGCAAGUCGAACGGAAAGGCCCUGCUUUUGUGGGGUGCUCGAGUGGCGAACGGGUGAGUAACACGUGAGUAACCUGCCCUUGACUUUGGGAUAACUUCAGGAAACUGGGGCUAAUACCGGAUAGGAGCUCCUGCUGCAUGGUGGGGGUUGGAAAGUUUCGGCGGUUGGGGAUGGACUCGCGGCUUAUCAGCUUGUUGGUGGGGUAGUGGCUUACCAAGGCUUUGACGGGUAGCCGGCCUGAGAGGGUGACCGGCCACAUUGGGACUGAGAUACGGCCCAGACUCCUACGGGAGGCAGCAGUGGGGAAUAUUGCACAGUGGGCGGAAGCCUGAUGCAGCAACGCCGCGUGCGGGAUGACGGCCUUCGGGGUGUAAACCGCUUUCGCCUGUGACGAAGCGUGAGUGACGGUAAUGGGUAAAGAAGCACCGGCUAACUACGUG
This 468-nucleotide ribosomal RNA is filed under the name uncultured bacterium. RNAcentral's name for it is "partial 16S ribosomal RNA". It matches the Rfam family "Bacterial small subunit ribosomal RNA", at positions 28 to 507 of the family's 1533-position model. The record is from RNAcentral.